RNAcentral lists this ribosomal RNA (492 nucleotides) under uncultured bacterium. Its description in RNAcentral is "partial 16S ribosomal RNA". It matches the Rfam family "Bacterial small subunit ribosomal RNA", at positions 28 to 507 of the family's 1533-position model. The record is from RNAcentral.
GAUGAACGCUAGCUACAGGCUUAACACAUGCAAGUCGAGGGGAAACGACAUCGAAAGCUUGCUUUUGAUGGGCGUCGACCGGCGCACGGGUGAGUAACGCGUAUCCAACCUGCCCACCACUUGGGGAUAACCUUGCGAAAGUAAGACUAAUACCCAAUGAUAUCCCACGAAGACAUCUGAAUGGGAUUAAAGAUUUAUCGGUGAUGGAUGGGGAUGCGUCUGAUUAGCUUGUUGGCGGGGUAACGGCCCACCAAGGCAACGAUCAGUAGGGGUUCUGAGAGGAAGGUCCCCCACAUUGGAACUGAGACACGGGCCAAACGCCUACGGGAGGCAGCAGUGAGGAAUAUUAGUCAAUGGGCGAGAGCCUGAACCAGCCAAGUAGCGUGCAGGAAGACGGCCCUAUGGGUUGUAAACUGCUUUUAUAAGGGAAUAAAGUGGGUCACGUGUGACUUUUUGCAUGUACCUUAUGAAUAAGGACCGGCUAAUUCCGUG